RNAcentral lists this long non-coding RNA (755 nucleotides) under Mytilus galloprovincialis (Mediterranean mussel). The record is from RNAcentral. Lineage: Eukaryota; Metazoa; Mollusca; Bivalvia; Mytilida; Mytilidae.
UGAAAUAUCAUGCAAUGAUUGACUUUUAUUUAAUAUUCAAGUGCUUAUAGUAAAAUGUAGAAAGUUAAAUGAGACUUACCAAAUUUGCCUUUAGAUGCCUCUAUAAGGGCUCAUAUAAAAGCCUUUUGACAUUGACAUUAAAUAUUUUACAGUUGACUUAGCCAUGAUAUUUUAAUAUAUAAAUGUGUUUGUAAGGUGACAGCUUGACAUGUUAAUGUAAUUAUAUGUGGUGAGACUAUAAAAAAAGAAAAAAUUGUACAUAGGAGGGAUUGCAAUCACUAAAACAGGGGAUUAUGAAUAUAAGUGACAUCACAAUUCAGUUCGUUUAAGUCUUCUCUAAAAAAUAUACAGUACAACAUAUAACAAUAAAUCACGUCUGUUUAAAUGAGUUUUUGGGAGAAAUCUUGGAUAAUUUACACUGGUAAACUUUUUUUAACAAAUUUUAGACUAUGAAAUUAAAAUUUGACAAUAUUAUGAUGUAACUGUAUUUUACUCUUCAUUAUGAAGUAACAUGGCAGUUUAUCUACCUGAAGAUUCAUUGGAAGUCUGGUAUUAAUAAACAGGGACUGUCACUGAGAUAGCUUUAUGAUAGAAAGGCAAUUGUUUACAGUGAGUGCAAUAUUGUUGUUGAAUAAAAUAAAUAUGUUUUGGUGAUUGUAUUAGUUUUUAAGUGUUUUCUUAUUAUAGUGUGUGAUAACAUUGUGUGAGGGAAUUCGACGUUUGAUGUACCACUGUUCACUCCAGUGCAAUUUAUG